RNAcentral lists this ribosomal RNA (253 nucleotides) under uncultured bacterium. Its description in RNAcentral is "partial 16S ribosomal RNA". It matches the Rfam family "Bacterial small subunit ribosomal RNA", at positions 524 to 776 of the family's 1533-position model. The record is from RNAcentral.
UACAGAGGGUGCAAGCGUUAUUCGGAAUUACUGGGCGUAAAGCGUGCGUAGGUGGUUUUUUAAGUCCGUUGUGAAAGCCCUGGGCUCAACCUGGGAAUGGCGGUGGAUACUGGAAAGCUAGAGUGCGGUAGAGGGUAGUGGAAUUCCCGGUGUAGCAGUGAAAUGCGUAGAUAUCGGGAGGAACACCUGUGGCGAAAGCGGCUCACUGGACCACAACUGACGCUGAGGCGCGAAAGCUAGGGGAGCAAACAGG